RNAcentral lists this ribosomal RNA (441 nucleotides) under uncultured bacterium. RNAcentral's name for it is "partial 16S ribosomal RNA". It matches the Rfam family "Bacterial small subunit ribosomal RNA", at positions 339 to 795 of the family's 1533-position model. The record is from RNAcentral.
CUACGGGAGGCUGCCGUAGGGAAUAUUGGACAAUGGGCGAAAGCCUGAUCCAGCAACGCCGCGUGCACGAUGACGGCCUUCGGGUUGUAAAGUGCUUUUAGAGGAGAUGAGAAAGGACAGUAUCCUCUGAAUAAGCCUCGGCGAACUGACGUGCCAGCAGCCGCGGUAAAACGUAGGAGGCAAGCGUUAUCUGGAUUUAUUGGGCGUAAAGCGCGUGCAGGCGGUUUGACAAGUUGGAUGUGAAAGCUCCCGGCUUAACUGGGAGAGGUCGUUCAAAACUGUCAGACUAGAGAAUGGGAGAGGGAGGUGGAAUUCCGGGUGUAGUGGUGAAAUGCGUAGAUAUCCGGAGGAACACCAGUGGCGAAAGCGGCCUCCUAGACCAUUUCUGACGCUAAGACGCGAAAGCUAGGGUAGCAAACGGGAUUAGAUACCCCAGUAGUC